CCAAGGAGUCUAACAUGUGCGCGAGUCGUCGGGUCUUGAAUAGGCCCGCAGGCGUAAUGAAAGUGAAGGGCGACCUCGGCGUCGCCUGCGUUGGGAUCCCCGGUUCCUCGGGUCCGGGGCGCACCAACGGCCCGUCCCAUCCGCCUCGUCGGCGGGACGGAGCGAGAGCGUACACGUUGGGACCCGAAAGAUGGUGAACUAUGCCUGGGCAGGACGAGGCCAGAGGAAACUCUGGUGGAGGUCCGCAGCGAUUCUGACGUGCAAAUCGAUCGUCAGACCUGGGUAUAGGGGCGAAAGACUAAUCGAACCAUC
Molecule: ribosomal RNA, 312 nt
Filed under: Pandinus imperator (emperor scorpion)
Lineage: Eukaryota; Metazoa; Arthropoda; Arachnida; Scorpiones; Scorpionidae
Also listed under: 1 other name
Description: eukaryotic LSU rRNA
Rfam family: Eukaryotic large subunit ribosomal RNA
Source: RNAcentral